Molecule: ribosomal RNA, 262 nt
Filed under: uncultured bacterium
Lineage: Bacteria
Description: partial 16S ribosomal RNA
Rfam family: Bacterial small subunit ribosomal RNA
Source: RNAcentral
UACGUAGGGGCCGAGCGUUGUCCGGAUUCAUUGGGCGUAAAGAGCGUGUAGGCGGCCGCUUAAGUCCUGCGUGAAAUCUCGGAGCUCAACUCCGAGCGGUCGUGGGAAACUGGGCGGCUAGAGUGCGGGGAGAGGAGAGUGGGAAUUCCUGGUGUAGCGGUGGAAAUGCGCAGAUAUCAGGAAGAACACCCCGUGGCGAAGGGCGGGCUCUCUGGAACGCAACUGACGCUGAGACGCGAAAAGCGUGGGGGAGCAAAACAGG